CCUACGGGUGGCAGCAGUGAGGAAUAUUGGUCAAUGGACGAGAGUCUGAACCAGCCAAGUAGCGUGAAGGAUGACUGCCCUAUGGGUUGUAAACUUCUUUUAUACGGGAAUAAAGUUGGGCACGUGUGCCUUUUUGUAUGUACCGUAUGAAUAAGGAUCGGCUAACUCCGUGCCAGCAGCCGCGGUAAUACGGAGGAUCCGAGCGUUAUCCGGAUUUAUUGGGUUUAAAGGGAGCGUAGGCGGAUGCUUAAGUCAGUUGUGAAAGUUUGCGGCUCAACCGUAAAAUUGCAGUUGAUGCUGGGUGUCUUGAGUACAGUAGAGGCAGGCGGAAUUCGUGGUGUAGCGGUGAAAUGCUUAGAUAUCACGAAGAACUCCGAUUGCGAAGGCAGCUUGCUGGACUGUAACUGACGCUGAUGCUCGAAAGUGUGGGUAUCAAACAGGAUUAGAUACCCCGGUAGUC
This 460-nucleotide ribosomal RNA is filed under the name uncultured Bacteroides sp. RNAcentral's name for it is "bacterial SSU rRNA". It matches the Rfam family "Bacterial small subunit ribosomal RNA", at positions 338 to 795 of the family's 1533-position model. The record is from RNAcentral. Lineage: Bacteria; Pseudomonadati; Bacteroidota; Bacteroidia; Bacteroidales; Bacteroidaceae.